GAUGAACGCUGGCGGCGUGCUUAACACAUGCAAGUCGAACGAAGCACUUUAUUUGAUUUCCUUCGGGACUGAUUAUUUUGUGACUGAGUGGCGGACGGGUGAGUAACGCGUGGGUAACCUGCCUUGUACAGGGGGAUAACAGUUGGAAACGGCUGCUAAUACAGCAUAAGCGCACGGCAUCGCAUGAUGCAGUGUGAAAAAGUCCGGUGGUAUCAGAUGGACUCGCGUUGGAUCACAUAGUUGGUGAGGUAACGGCCCACCAAGGCGACGAUCCAUAGCCGACCUGAGAGGGUGACCGACCACAUUGGGACUGAGACACGGCCCAAACUCCUACGGGAGGCAGCAGUGGGGAAUAUUGCACAAUGGGCGAAAGCCUGAUGCAGCGACGCCGCGUGAGCGAAGAAGUAUUUCGGUAUGUAAAGCUCUAUCAGCAGGGAAGAUAAUGACGGUACCUGACGAAGAAGCACCGGCUAAAUACGUG
RNAcentral lists this ribosomal RNA (481 nucleotides) under uncultured bacterium. RNAcentral's name for it is "partial 16S ribosomal RNA". It matches the Rfam family "Bacterial small subunit ribosomal RNA", at positions 28 to 507 of the family's 1533-position model. The record is from RNAcentral.